RNAcentral lists this ribosomal RNA (253 nucleotides) under uncultured bacterium. RNAcentral's name for it is "partial 16S ribosomal RNA". It matches the Rfam family "Bacterial small subunit ribosomal RNA", at positions 524 to 776 of the family's 1533-position model. The record is from RNAcentral.
UACGUAGGGUGCGAGCGUUAAUCGGAAUUACUGGGCGUAAAGGGUGCGCAGGCGGCUUUGCAAGACAGAUGUGAAAUCCCCGGGCUCAACCUGGGAACUGCAUUUGUGACUGCAAGGCUAGAGUACGGCAGAGGGGGAUGGAAUUCCGCGUGUAGCAGUGAAAUGCGUAGAUAUGCGGAGGAACACCAAUGGCGAAGGCAAUCCCCUGGGCCUGUACUGACGCUCAUGCACGAAAGCGUGGGGAGCAAACAGG